Oncorhynchus tshawytscha (Chinook salmon) is the source of this 495-nucleotide long non-coding RNA. Lineage: Eukaryota; Metazoa; Chordata; Actinopteri; Salmoniformes; Salmonidae. The record is from Ensembl.
AGGUAGCCUAGUGGUUAGAGUGUAGAGGGGGCAGGUAGCCUAGUGGUUAGAGUGUAGGGACGGUAGGUAGCCUAGUGGUUAGAGUGUAGAGGGGGCAGGGUAGCCUAGUGGUUAGAGUGUAGGGGAGGCAGGUAGCCUAGUGGUUAGAGUGUAGAGGGGGCAGGGUAGCCUAGUGGUUAGAGUGUAGAGGGGGCAGGGUAGCCUAGUGGUUAGAGUGUAGAGGAGGCAGGUAGCCUAGUGGUUAGAGUGUAGAGGAGGCAGGUAGCCUAGUGGUUAGAGUGUAGAGGGGGCAGGGUAGCCUAGUGGUUAGAGUGUAGAGGAGGCAGGUAGCCUAGUGGUUAGAGUGUAGAGGGGGCAGGGUAGCCUAGUGGUUAGAGUGUAGGGGAGGCAGGUAGCCUAGUGGUUAGAGUGUAGAGGAGGCAGGUAGCCUAGUGGUUAGAGUGUAGGGGAGGCAGGUAGCCUAGUGGUUAGAGUGUAGGGGCGGCAGGUAGCCUA